AGUGAACGCUGGCGGUAGGCCUAACACAUGCAAGUCGAACGGCAGCACAGUAAGAGCUUGCGCUUACGGGUGGCGGGUGGCGGACGGGUGCGGAAUACAUCGGAAUCUACUUUUUCGUGGGGGAUAACGUAGGGAAACUUACGCUACUACCGCAUACGACCUACGGGUGAAAGCAGGGGAUCUUGCGACCUUGCCCGAUUGAAUGAGCCGAUGUCGGAUUAGCUAGUUGGCGGGGUAAAGGCCCACCAAGGCGACGAUCCGUAGCUGGUCUGAGAGGACGACCAGCCACACUGGAACUGAGACACGGUCCAGACUCCUACGGGAGGCAGCAGUGGGGAAUAUUGGACAAUGGGCGCAAGCCUGAUCCAGCAAUACCGCGUGGGGGAAGAAGGCCUUCGGGUUGUAAACCCCUUUUGUUGGGAAAGAAAAGCAGCAGGUUAAUACCCCGCGGUUCUGACGGUACCGAAAGAAUAAGCACCGGCUAACUACGUG
Molecule: ribosomal RNA, 492 nt
Filed under: uncultured bacterium
Lineage: Bacteria
Description: partial 16S ribosomal RNA
Rfam family: Bacterial small subunit ribosomal RNA
Source: RNAcentral